AACGAGACGAACGAGAAGAACAAGAGAAGAAUCACGACCCAUCACUACUGUAUACUUGAGGUUGGCUGAAACCCCCAUACGAUUACACAACCCUCCAAAUAGCAGUGUGCUUUAACAUACACACACGGUGCGGCCACACCAAACGCGUAACGCGCCUAACCUGAUGGUACGGCCACACCAACCGCGUUGCUCGCGUUAGGGGCGUUGAAAAUCGGCAUUUUUGCAUAGGGAACCAUUGGUUUAGGCGCGGUACACGCGUUGAAGCGUUGAAGCGUUGAUUUGGGGGCGUUAGGCGCGGCAGUUGCACGUAAUUACGCACGUAAACGCAGUAACGCGCCCAACGCACCAACGCCCGGAGUUCAGAAAAUUGAACUUUCAACGCUCCAACGCGUGACGCUUAGCCGCGGAAGCCAAUCAGCGUGGAGCUUGACCCGACGUCACUGGCAGAGAGUAGUGAGCUUGCACAGAAGCAUACGGCCGACAUCUUUCUUUUUUCUGGGUGGAAAUAGUAACAUAGUUACGCCAUUAAAUGCGUUUAUGGAAACAUUUCUAGCGAGAAAUGUGCAUUUUACUUUCAUAAUGUUCGCUCGGUGAAUGUGAAGGAUGUUUGGUUUGAUAGUUAUGACGAAGAGGGAACGCUCCGUUCACUUGCAUGGACAGAGUCUCUGGUUGCUAAGCAACCUCAAUCACCGAGCGAACAUUAUGAAAGUAAAAUGCACAUUUCUCGCUAAAAAUGUUUCCAUAAACGCAUUUAAUGGCGUAACUAUGUUACAUUUCCACCCAGAAUAAAGAUAGUUGUCGGCCGUGGCUGCGCUGGAGUCCGAGGUAGGAACCCAAACGCCGCCGUGUUUGGGUGAUAGAGCUUAGAUCGGGUUCGAUUAAAUAAUCUCUGAUAUAAAUAACAAUAAUCGGGUUAAAUAACUUCACAUGGUGUGUCUGGUGUGUUUCCAGCAUUCGUAGUGUUGAUCAGCAGAAAAUAGUCCGCCAAGACGUUGAGGUUGCUUAGCAUCCAGACACUCUGUCCAUGCAAGUGAACGGAGCGUUCCCUCUUCGUCAUAACUAUCAAACCAAACAUCCUUC
Molecule: long non-coding RNA, 1080 nt
Filed under: Gadus morhua (Atlantic cod)
Lineage: Eukaryota; Metazoa; Chordata; Actinopteri; Gadiformes; Gadidae
Description: lncRNA (ENSGMOG00000028336.1)
Source: RNAcentral